Molecule: ribosomal RNA, 163 nt
Filed under: uncultured bacterium
Lineage: Bacteria
Description: partial 16S ribosomal RNA
Rfam family: Bacterial small subunit ribosomal RNA
Source: RNAcentral
UGAGGAAUAUUGGUCAAUGGGCGAGAGCCUGAACCAGCCAAGUCGCGUGAAGGAAGAAGGAUCUAUGGUUGUAAACUUCUUUUGCAGGGGAAUAAAGUGCAUCGCUACGAGUAGCGUUUUGUAAGUACCUUGCGAAUAAGGAUCGGCUAACUCCGUGCCAGCA